Molecule: long non-coding RNA, 3433 nt
Organism: Monodelphis domestica (gray short-tailed opossum)
Lineage: Eukaryota; Metazoa; Chordata; Mammalia; Didelphimorphia; Didelphidae
Source: RefSeq, a predicted model, not a curated record
GCUUCUGGACACGCGCCGGGCAAGGCCCUGGCCAUGGCUUUGCCACAGUGAGGAGCAGCGGCCUUCCCUUCGCCUUCCGCUCAGAGUUUCGCUUCCCAACAAGUUACAUAGGAUCCAACUGGGGUGGGGUGGGGUGGGGGAGCCGAAGGGGGCCGCUCGGCCAUUCCCUCCUCCCGCCGCCAAUACCGGUCCUCCCCGCUAGGAGGAAGAUGAAGGCGCCGAGUGGGUGCCGCUGAGCUACUUCUCCAGCCUAGGUUUGCCGGAAGGAGAGCUUAGCCUGGAGCACCACGAAGGAAGAGCUCGGCACCAGAAUCUGCCCUGAGGGAGGAGCCGCGCCAGCGGGGGGCGCGCACACACGCACGCACGCACGCACGCACGCACGCACGCACGGAGGGCACGAGGAGGCGCAUUCCAGAACGCGGCCCAAUGGGAGUAAGAAGGAGCAGCGAGGACCUAGGGAGGGACGCGCCGCGAUGCUCAGCUCCAUCCCCAGGAGCUCCGGAGGCUUCCUGCUUCUCCUCUUGCUCCCAGGCACUGCUAGGGGUGCCCGGGAGGAGCCGGGCUCGAAGGAUGAACCCCUUCCAGGACGGGAGCAGGGAAUAGGCGGCAGCCCCGGGCUUGGGAAGAAGUUGGACGGUGUCGGGAAAUACAGGACCGAGCCGGAGGCACGGCGAUCCCCCACUGAGGCCACUUUCGGAGACCGAGUCUCUGCUUGAUUUGGGUGGCCCCGCGGAGGGUGAGCCAGCCAGGUGGGCCCCGAAGGGAGAUGAGGGAGUGGAAGGAGGAGAGCCUGGCGGCCAGGAGCAGCUGGAGGGAGGCUGGGAGGCGAGUCUUUCCGGCUCCCCCGCCAUCUCUCACGGGAGUUUGAGAUCAGCUCCAGAACACCCACAUGCUACACACGCAUACGUGCAGCACACGUACAUCAUACAUAUUUACAUACAUGUGUGCCCGUGUACAUCUCCACUUCAAUAUAUGCAGCUACAGACUCAGAAAUCAUGGUACGGAGAACAUGGGACAGGGAGCACGAUGUUGGAAAUGGAGUUCGAAUGGGCAGGUGGCUCGGCUUGUCUUCCCUCAGUUCUGUCAUCUGUAAAAUGGGUUCACAGUAGCAGCCCCCUGGGGGCUGGGCAGAUUAGAUGAGGUCCGAGUUGGCACAUGCUCUGUGAGCCCUCCUCCUGGCCGGUCUUGUUCUGGGUUCCAUAAACAGCUGAAAUCCCCCUUCCUUAAUGGCGCACAGUGGGAAGGAGUCCCGUGUGUGGUCCACAAGGGUCGGUCCAUGUGCGAAUGGCUCUUCGCUCCCCCACGAGAGGAAUUUCCUGAAUGGCUCCCCCCCCCAUUCUUGGGAGCCUCCAGGGGCAGGCUAGACCCUUGGGGACCCCGGGCUGUUGGCCCCCCGCAUCCACCGCUUCAUCUCUGCCUUCUCGUAGGAGGGGCCUGGUGGCCAGAUCUCUGAACUGGAGCCUGGAGAGCAGCUUUCGAAUCCUGCUCUGGACUCGGGGGAAGUGUCCGGCCUUUCGGAGCCCCGGCGUCUUCUUGUAGGGAGCGGAGGUUGGCCAGCGCCUCUACUGCCUGCCUCGAGGAUGCUUGGGAGAGCCUCAUGUGCUCCAAGGCUGGGACCUUCCGUCUGCCCUCAGCCACUGACCCACUGUCUCCCCCUACAGCCUGGAGAUCUGGGGGAGCCCUAAGGAGCAGCCGUCCCUUUCCCCGCCUCUGCCUCUCCUCCCCUCCCUGAUGGGGCUGGGGUGCCUGUGUGAAGCCUCCCUCCCCCCAGCAUUCCCUGGGGAUGGGAACCGAUGACCUGGGCCUGAGGACUCAAGGCCUGGAUGGUGCUGCGUCUGGCAAGGAGGUGGCAAGAGCCAGGUGCUUGGAGAAGGGAGCCGACUCCCCCUUGGUCCUGGAACCCGGGACCAGCGAGUGGCACGUUGGCCUUUCCCGUCUGUUCAAUGGGAGCGAUGAUCCCAGCACUCUGGCCACUCGUUCUCUGUCCGGGUGAGAGCCAGGACGGCGCUUCUUUUUCCCGGUUUUUAUCCCUAGCCCUUGGCGCAGGGCCCGACACACCGCACGUGGGGGCUUGGUAAAUGACCAGCCGCUCACCUCGCGGUCAGUCCCGCCAGCGGGGGCCUCACGUAGAAUGGCUCCAGAAGGAAGGAUCGCCGGACAGGACGCCAGGAAUCUCCUGGGGGCGGGAAGAGCAGGGAAAUGGGGCUACGGGCAGACCGCGCCGCCAGCGGUCCAUGGGCUGCCACGGCCAGUUGGACGGAGCUCGCUGUCGCCCGGGAGCUCAUCUCGCCGCGUCUUUCCUCCCCGAAGCAUGUCGGGUCUCUCGCUGGUCAGAAGAGCCGAAAAUGCUGGAAGAAUUUGCUCAGGCUGCGUCGCGGCGGGCCGUGGAGCCCAAUAAGCACAGACGCCAAGGACAAGCUCCGGGACAAGCGUCUGAGGGAAUGAAAGUCCUGGCUGGGCCCUGAAGAGUCCUGAGAAGGGGCUGUUGUGGAGUGGGGGCAAAGGGGCCUGAAACGUUCCACCAGGAAGCGAGGGCUGAGGCGGGUGCCCUGGACGUCCCCCUCGAGGUGCCCGUCUCAGUCCUUUUCUGGUCCGAGUGGUCACUCCUUGUCAGGGAACUUCACUCGCCCUACGGAGCCCAGGGUUUCCCAUCCUCCACUUUGGGAAUGAUGCCCAGCCUUGCCUUCAGCUGCUAACCAGCGAUGCCCAGGGGCAGCCUGUAACAUUCUCAGAGGGAAGCAAUUAAAUCCAUUUUAAUUUUAAAAACAUUCCUGGCAGAAUGCCAGGAAGUAGGUAGUGGGGGGGGGGAGUCCCUGGUGGGGGAACAAAAGCAGAAAUUCCCAAAUGGCUCCGGUUUAUGGGCCAAUGGACAAAUGAAGGAUUGGGGAGGGCCCCUGGCGUGACGAAGGACCUCGAGCUUGUGCCACAUGCACUGAGCUCUGACUGCUUUAAAGGACGUAUCAUGGAAACGGGAUAGAACGAGGCACAGGCAUUUUCAUCCAAGUAGGCUUCAGAUUGUUCUUCCCUUCUGCAUAUUUGCAAUCACAUCAGUAUGCAAGAAAUAAUACAUGAAAACUUCUCAGAACUUCUGAAUAUAAAAGGCAAUAUUAUUGGAAAGAAUUCACAGACUUCCUCCAUAAAAAAAACCUAUGCUACAAUCAAAUAAGUUAAUUAUUCUUCUGACAAACAACAAUUCUCCAACAGACCAGGAGAAAGACCUUCAAAUAUAAAGGAAGGGAAAAUUUGAAUACACAAGACUACUCUGUACUCACCAGAAACCAAAGAAAAGAAUGGAACAGUGUGUUCCAAAGAACUCUGGACAUCAAGAUGCAGCCUGAGGGAACCUACUCUGUACAUAUGAGCUUAACCACUAAUGGAAAAGGGGGGAUAUUUAAUAAAAAGAGGCACUUGUGGCAUUCUUAGAAAGGAAAAA